AGGCAGAGGAGCUAGGAAAGUGUCUUAGAAGUCAGGGGAUGGCCAUAUUGCAAGAAAUGCAAAACUGCAGCAGUUUGCUCACAGGCUGAUGGGAAGCAGCGCCCUGCCUCCAGUUCUGUCACUCAGGAGAUGUGUGACCCCGGCACCAGGAAAUUCCAUACAACCAGGUCACCUGUAAAAGGCCAGGUACCCUGUUUAGGAAACACCACUCGUGAGCUGUUUGAACCAUGCUGUGGGUCCAGCCUCCCCAUGACAUGACUGUUGUCACAAGCUCAAGGGUGCAGCCCAGAGGAUCCAACCUGUAGUGAUCUGAAGAUGGCUGAGACUAUGAUGUCUCCAAGCAAGCAGAUGAGCAGCAGAUCUGAACUGGCCAGAAGAAGUGUCGUGAGAGGAGGCUGGCUGUCCCACAGGACUUGCCUGGGCUCUGGAUGAGGUCUCAUUGGCAGAACUGUGAGGGGCACUGAUUCCCAGGUACUCUAAUCUUUCAGACUACCAGCCAGAGGACUCGGCUUAUGGGAACCUAUUCAACUCU
This 532-nucleotide long non-coding RNA is filed under the name Cricetulus griseus (Chinese hamster). Its description in RNAcentral is "lncRNA (ENSCGRG00015030371.1)". The record is from RNAcentral. Lineage: Eukaryota; Metazoa; Chordata; Mammalia; Rodentia; Cricetidae.